UGAAACUAUACACGAAUUAGUCAUCAAGAAUUGAUAGGACCAAGGUGGACCUAAGGUGGCAAUUGACAAUGUUAUUGAAAAUGAUCCAAUUGCUCUCUGCAUUAAUCUCAGAUAGUUACGACAGACGAACUUACAUCACAGUUCUUGAUCUUAAGAAGACUAUGGAGCGACACAUGUGUUUAUCUUUUGUAAGGGAAAACGUCCGGAAGGUAAUAAAUUGCAAGCACAUUGGAUGAAAUAUCAUCUUUUUUACAACAUAUUAAACUUCUUUGUAACAAUGGAAAUGAUGUGAUAUAUGGUGUUAUAAAUUCAGCUGAAUUAUAUUUUAUGACGAAACGUCAAAUGUAAAAUAAAUUGGCAAGAAGUUAAUAUCUUGAAACAAUUUAC
This is a long non-coding RNA of Dinoponera quadriceps, 387 nucleotides long. RefSeq lists it as uncharacterized. Lineage: Eukaryota; Metazoa; Arthropoda; Insecta; Hymenoptera; Formicidae. The record is from RefSeq and is a predicted model, not a curated record. The transcript is spliced from 2 exons.